GAUGAACGCUGGCGGCGUGCCUAAUACAUGCGAGUCGAGCGAACAGAUGAGGAGCUUGCUCCUCUGACGUUAGCGGCGGACGGGUGAGUAACACGUGGAUAACCUACCUAUAAGACUGGGAUAACUUCGGGAAACCGGAGCUAAUACCGGAUAAUAUAUUGAACCGCAUGGUUCAAUAGUGAAAGACGGUUUUGCUGUCACUUAUAGAUGGAUCCGCGCCGCAUUAGCUAGUUGGUAAGGUAACGGCUUACCAAGGCAACGAUGCGUAGCCGACCUGAGAGGGUGAUCGGCCACACUGGAACUGAGACACGGUCCAGACUCCUACGGGAGGCAGCAGUAGGGAAUCUUCCGCGAUGGGCGAAAGCCUGACGGAGCGACGCCGCGUGAGUGAUGAAGGUCUUCGGAUCGUAAAACUCUGUUAUUAGGGAAGAACAAAUGUGUAAGUAGCUAUGCACGUCUUGACGGUACCUAAUCAGAAAGCCACGGCUAACUACGUG
This 497-nucleotide ribosomal RNA is filed under the name uncultured bacterium. RNAcentral's name for it is "partial 16S ribosomal RNA". It matches the Rfam family "Bacterial small subunit ribosomal RNA", at positions 28 to 507 of the family's 1533-position model. The record is from RNAcentral.